This 253-nucleotide ribosomal RNA is filed under the name uncultured bacterium. RNAcentral describes it as "partial 16S ribosomal RNA". It matches the Rfam family "Bacterial small subunit ribosomal RNA", at positions 524 to 776 of the family's 1533-position model. The record is from RNAcentral.
UACGUAGGGGGCAAGCGUUAUCCGGAUUUACUGGGUGUAAAGGGAGCGUAGACGGCAGCGCAAGUCUGGAGUGAAAUCCCAUGGCUUAACCAUGGAACUGCUUUGGAAACUGUGCAGCUAGAGUGCAGGAGAGGUAAGCGGAAUUCCUAGUGUAGCGGUGAAAUGCGUAGAUAUUAGGAGGAACACCAGUGGCGAAGGCGGCUUACUGGACUGUAACUGACGUUGAGGCUCGAAAGCGUGGGGAGCAAACAGG